This 348-nucleotide unclassified non-coding RNA is filed under the name soil metagenome. RNAcentral describes it as "partial contains 5.8S ribosomal RNA, internal transcribed spacer 2, and large subunit ribosomal RNA". The stretch from base 1 to 120 matches the Rfam family "5.8S ribosomal RNA", at positions 35 to 154 of the family's 154-position model. The record is from RNAcentral.
GAUGAAGAACGCAGCAAAAUGCGAUAAGUAAUGUGAAUUGCAGAAUUCAGUGAAUCAUCGAAUCUUUGAACGCACAUUGCGCCCGCUGGUAUUCCGGCGGGCAUGCCUGUUCGAGCGUCAUUUCAACCCUCAAGCCCCCGGGUUUGGUGUUGGGGAUCGGCUCUGCCCUUCUGGGCGGUGCCGCCCCCGAAAUACAUUGGCGGUCUCGCUUCAGCCUCCAUUGCGUAGUAGCUAACACCUCGCAACUGGAACGCGGCGCGGCCAUGCCGUAAAACCCCAACUUCUGAAUGUUGACCUCGGAUCAGGUAGGAAUACCCGCUGAACUUAAGCAUAUCAAUAAGCGGAGGA